RNAcentral lists this ribosomal RNA (465 nucleotides) under Vreelandella stevensii. RNAcentral's name for it is "partial 16S ribosomal RNA". It matches the Rfam family "Bacterial small subunit ribosomal RNA", at positions 338 to 795 of the family's 1533-position model. The record is from RNAcentral. Lineage: Bacteria; Pseudomonadati; Pseudomonadota; Gammaproteobacteria; Oceanospirillales; Halomonadaceae.
CCUACGGGGCGCAGCAGUGGGGAAUAUUGGACAAUGGGCGAAAGCCUGAUCCAGCCAUGCCGCGUGUGUGAAGAAGGCCUUCGGGUUGUAAAGCACUUUCAGUGGGGAAGAAAGCCUUGGGGCUAAUACCCUCGAGGAAGGACAUCACCCACAGAAGAAGCACCGGCUAACUCCGUGCCAGCAGCCGCGGUAAUACGGAGGGUGCGAGCGUUAAUCGGAAUUACUGGGCGUAAAGCGCGCGUAGGCGGUCUGAUAAGCCGGUUGUGAAAGCCCCGGACUCAACCUGGGAACGGCAUCCGGAACUGUCAGGCUAGAGUGCAGGAGAGGAAGGUAGAAUUCCCGGUGUAGCGGUGAAAUGCGUAGAGAUCGGGAGGAAUACCAGUGGCGAAGGCGGCCUUCUGGACUGACACUGACGCUGAGGUGCGAAAGCGUGGGUAGCAAACAGGAUUAGAUACCCGAGUGGUC